UUAAAGUUUGAUUCUUUCUUACCCCUUUAUGUGAUUACUAAGAUUGUAUGAGAGCUAUAGCAAGUAACUGUUUCCAUGUUUAAAACUUGGUGUCUUCUCUAAAACUAUAUUGUAGUUAAUUCUCAGCAUAUAAUAUUAAACAAUAUGUAAAAGCAUGAAUUAGUAGUAAAUUUAAACCUAAUUAAUAUUGUGCCAGCAGUUGCGGUUAUACCUUAAGGUUAAAUAAAGGAAAAUUGGCUUUCUGUUAAAUGUAAGUAUUUGGUUUAUCUGGUAAAAUAGAAAGUGAAAUUAAAUGUUUAAUCAAGAAGUUCAUUGAAUAUAAGUUGAAACAGAAAAAUCUCAGGGAUAAACUAGGAUUAGAUACCCUAUUAUACUGAGGAGAAUAUAAGCAAGCCUGAUUAUUAAUAGAUAUGAGCUUUAAAUUUAAAGAAUUUGGCGGUGGUUUAGUCCCGUUAGAGGAACCUGUUUCUUAAUCGAUACUCCUCGUAUAAUCUUACUUAAGCUUGUAAUCAGCAUGUAUACCAUCAUUAUUAGAUAAUUCUUAUAGGAUAAUUAUUAAAUAGGCCGAUAAUGUUGAAUAUAUUAGAUCAAGGUGCAGCUAAUGCUUAAGUGUAAAUGGGUUACAAUAAAAUUUAUUUUAUAUGGAUUACUAAAAGAAUAUUUAGUAUAAAAGUGGAUUUAAUUGUAAAAAAAGUUUAAUAUGCUUUUUUUAUAUAGGCUCUAAGCCGUGUACAUAUCGCCCGUCGCUUUCAUUAUUAAAUGAGAUAAGUCGUAACAUAGUAGGUCUACUGGAAAGUAGACCUGGUUUGAACA
This 813-nucleotide non-coding RNA is filed under the name Carcinus maenas (green crab). Lineage: Eukaryota; Metazoa; Arthropoda; Malacostraca; Decapoda; Carcinidae. The record is from RNAcentral.